RNAcentral lists this ribosomal RNA (683 nucleotides) under uncultured bacterium. RNAcentral's name for it is "bacterial SSU rRNA". It matches the Rfam family "Bacterial small subunit ribosomal RNA", at positions 549 to 1310 of the family's 1533-position model. The record is from RNAcentral.
AAUUAUUGGGCGUAAAGAGCUCGUAGGCGGUUUGUCGCGUCUGCUGUGAAACUGGGGGCUCAACCCCCAGCCUGCAGUGGGUACGGGCAGACUAGAGUGCGGUAGGGGAGAUUGGAAUUCCUGGUGUAGCGGUGGAAUGCGCAGAUAUCAGGAGGAACACCGAUGGCGAAGGCAGAUCUCUGGGCCGAACUGACGCUGAGGAGCGAAAGGGUGGGGAGCAAACAGGCUUAGAUACCCUGGUAGUCCACCCCGUAAACGUUGGGAACUAGUUGUGGGGCCGUGACGCAGCUAACGCAUUAAGUUCCCCGCCUGGGGAGUACGGCCGCAAGGCUAAAACUCAAAGGAAUUGACGGGGACCCGCACAAGCGGCGGAGCAUGCGGAUUAAUUCGAUGCAACGCGAAGAACCUUACCAAGGCUUGACAUACAGGUGGUGCAUGGUUGUCGUCAGCUCGUGUCGUGAGAUGUUGGGUUAAGUCCCGCAACGAGCGCAACCCUCGUUCUAUGUUGCAACUCAUGGGAUACUGCCGGGGUCAACUCGGAGGAAGGUGGGGAUGACGUCAAAUCAUCAUGCCCUUAUGUCUUGGGCUUCACGCAUGCUACAAUGGCCGGUACAAAGGGCUGCAAUACCGUAAGGUGGAGCGAAUCCCAAAAAGCCGGUCCCAGUUCGGAUUGAGGUCUGCAA